GAUGAACGCUGGCGGCGUGCCUAACACAUGCAAGUCGAACGGAGUCGUUUUGGAAAUCUCUUCGGAGAUGGAAUUCUCGACUUAGUGGCGGACGGGUGAGUAACGCGUGAGCAAUCUGCCUUUAAGAGGGGGAUAACAGUCGGAAACGGCUGCUAAUACCGCAUAAAGCAUUAAAUUCGCAUGUUUUUGAUGCCAAAGGAGCAAUCCGCUUUUAGAUGAGCUCGCGUCUGAUUAGCUAGUUGGCGGGGUAACGGCCCACCAAGGCGACGAUCAGUAGCCGGACUGAGAGGUUGAACGGCCACAUUGGGACUGAGACACGGCCCAGACUCCUACGGGAGGCAGCAGUGGGGAAUAUUGCGCAAUGGGGGAAACCCUGACGCAGCAACGCCGCGUGAUUGAAGAAGGCCUUCGGGUUGUAAAGAUAUUUAAUCAGGGACGAAACAAAUGACGGUACCUGAAGAAUAAGCUCCGGCUAACUACGUG
This 483-nucleotide ribosomal RNA is filed under the name uncultured bacterium. RNAcentral's name for it is "partial 16S ribosomal RNA". It matches the Rfam family "Bacterial small subunit ribosomal RNA", at positions 28 to 507 of the family's 1533-position model. The record is from RNAcentral.